AACCUUCUGAAUCCGUGCCGCCAUUUCGUCAGGCACCAGACCAUCAGUACAGAUUAGAUUCCCAAAAUAAGUGAAGUC
Schistosoma haematobium is the source of this 78-nucleotide non-coding RNA. NCBI's taxonomy places the organism in Eukaryota, Metazoa, Platyhelminthes, Trematoda, Strigeidida, Schistosomatidae. The record is from Rfam.